Molecule: ribosomal RNA, 388 nt
Filed under: uncultured bacterium
Lineage: Bacteria
Description: bacterial SSU rRNA
Rfam family: Bacterial small subunit ribosomal RNA
Source: RNAcentral
AUUGAACGCUGGCGGAAUGCUUUACACAUGCAAGUCGAACGGCAGCACGGGGCAACCUGGUGGCGAGUGGCGAACGGGUGAGUAAUACAUCGGAACGUGCCCAAUCGUGGGGGAUAACGUAGCGAAAGUUACGCUAAUACCGCAUACGAUCUACGGAUGAAAGCGGGGGAUCGCAAGACCUCGCGCGAAUGGAGCGGCCGAUGUCAGAUUAGGUAGUUGGUGGGGUAAAGGCUCACCAAGCCAACGAUCUGUAGCUGGUCUGAGAGGACGACCAGCCACACUGGAACUGAGACACGGUCCAGACUCCUACGGGAGGCAGCAGUGGGGAAUUUUGGACAAUGGGCGCAAGCCUGAUCCAGCCAUUCCGCGUGCAGGAUGAAAGGCCCUU